ACUGAACAGAGAGCCAGAUGUGGGGCUCCAUCCCAGGACCUGAGCUGAAUCAGAUGCUUAACUGACUGAACCACCCAGGCGCCCCUAUUUCAUCAAUUUUUUAAAAUAUUUCUACUUAUCUAUAAACUAUAUGUUCAUGAGAUUCUUUGAAAUGCUAUGCUAUUUUGACUGCACAACUAAUUAAAUAAAUCCUUUCAAAGCGAUACCAAGCAGUGACAUUUUCUUCUUUUCCAGAUACAAAGGAGAGGAGGAUGGACUACAUGUUAAUUGCUGCAACAAGCUAAUUAUGCCAAGUGCUUGUACACAAGCAAAAGUUAUCUGCUAUCCUCUAUCCCUCUUAUGUUCAUCUGUCUUUCCUUAUCUGUGUUCUUUUUUUUUUCCCCUCUCGCCAUUUGGUGGCAUAUUCAUUUUUCAAUCACUUUACCUUGGCAUCACUAACAAACCUUACUCUUUUUAUUUUCUCCCACAUCCAGGCUGUUCAUGCAACACAUUUCAAAAUUUUGUUAUUUCUUCCUGUUCCUGUCUUUAAAAGCUGUCACUUCCUUUCUGUUCCCAAAGACAAAAAUCCUCAUCCUAACAUCUUUAUCCACAACAACGUGUCCUCUUCUCCUUAAAAUGUAUUCAGUGGUUAAACCACAUAAAUUAGCAAGUAAAGUUCCUGUUUUUCAUUCAAGAUGAUGGCAUCAACGAAUCAUAAGCCCGCAUGCUAUGGAUGUUCUUAUAAUUCAGAUUCACAACUAAUCUGGAAAAUGUAUUUGGAGUGAACUGGGCUUCUGAAAAAAAUGAUUGUUGGUUAGCAGAACAAGUAUUUUGCUAGCAGUGCAGCAGACGUUUUCUUCUUGGUGACAUGUGAGAGUGGGUGAGGAAAGCAUAUGUAAGAGUAUGGAAAAGGACAUCUCUAAAGUCAGGAAGAGUUGCACAUCCUCAAAGAAGACCAGAUUCAAUAUAUAAAUUAAAAAUUUGUUUUGGGAUCCCUGUGUGGCUCAGCAUUUUGGCGCCUGCCUUCAGCCCAGGCCGUGAUCCUGGAGUCCUUGGGUCAAGUCCCGCAUC
This is a long non-coding RNA of Canis lupus familiaris (dog), 1050 nucleotides long. RefSeq lists it as uncharacterized. Lineage: Eukaryota; Metazoa; Chordata; Mammalia; Carnivora; Canidae. The transcript has 4 exons. The record is from RefSeq and is a predicted model, not a curated record.